Long non-coding RNA from Siniperca chuatsi (mandarin fish), 1153 nucleotides. RefSeq lists it as uncharacterized. The transcript has 3 exons. Lineage: Eukaryota; Metazoa; Chordata; Actinopteri; Centrarchiformes; Sinipercidae. The record is from RefSeq and is a predicted model, not a curated record.
UUAGGGAGAGACAGAGAGAACCACCUAGAAUUUUUUUUCAACUCAUGAACUUACAGUUCUUACAGUUCAUUAUAUUUGUUUUGAUUACAGAACUUUUUAUUUAAAUCUAUGCUGUUUCUUACACAUUGGUUCUUCUUAAAAAGGGACCUGAUGUCUUCCAUCUUUUGCUUUUUGUUAAAGAUGGUUGAUGUUAAAAUGACAUGUUUGAGAAAAUUAACAUAUAUUACUUGAAUGAUGGGUUAUGUCCAGCGAACACGUUAUUUUUAAUUUGCUGAUGUUUGUAUGGUUUGUUUGAAUGAAAACUAAAAAUACAAACCGCUUCAAAUUCACUGCCAUACAUGUGUAUCACAUAGACCCACUGCUGACAAUGCAUAGUACAGCCUAAGGGUUGCCAGAUCCUCAGGUAUCCCACAUACCUCAGGUAACACACAAACCUGGCAAUUCUGCAAAACCUUACUGGUAACUAUUUGUGAUGGGUGAUUGUAAGAAAUAUUGGUAGGGAGGGACACUUGCAUACUGUCCAUACCCAAAUCCAUGCUUAUGCUGUCUAGCAUCACAGAAUGUAUGAUGCAGUGUAAAGGCUGGUGGAGGCUUGUUUAUGAUAAGUCUAUUAAAGUUUCUAAAUAACUAUGGUAAUGAUUUAUGAAUAAUAAAAUUAUACUAUGAUGCAGCUUUAAAAGAGUAAUUAAUUUCAGUCUUGCAAAGUCACAUUAAUGUUUGAACCAUAUCAUUAAGGUAAAGGUAAAGAUUACCAUCUGUUCGUCUGAAAACAGCUGUGGAUGUCAUUCUCAUAUAUUCAUCCUUUACUCUGGGACUACCUAUUUGUCUUGACAUUACAGAACACUGAUAAAACACUACCAACCGGCCGCAGGAUACACUAGCUCUGUAAAGACUGCUAAUUCACGCAUAUAAGCCUUUCUCCUGCAGAUUGUAACCUGUAUGGCACGCUGGUUCUGGGAUAUCACCAAGAAACAACUUCCUCAUCUGCUCUGUAGAUCAUAUGAUUGCACACGUUUGAAUCGAGUUUGUACCACAAAUACGAGAUAAGUAGCACCUAUAACAGACUGACAGGACAGCGUGUUCAGCUCUACAUACACUUCAGGACUGAUGAGACUGCAGUCUGUCCUCGUGAUCCUAAUCCUGGAUAUAUCCU